This 491-nucleotide ribosomal RNA is filed under the name uncultured bacterium. RNAcentral's name for it is "SSU rRNA". It matches the Rfam family "Bacterial small subunit ribosomal RNA", at positions 26 to 523 of the family's 1533-position model. The record is from RNAcentral.
AGAUUGAACGCUGGCGGCAUGCCUAACACAUGCAAGUCGAACGAGGGUAGCAAUACCUUAGUGGCGGACGGGUGAGGAAUACGUAGGAAUUUGCCCUUAAGUGGGGGAUAGCCCGGGGAAACCCGGAUUAAUACCGCAUACGUCCUACGGGAGAAAGCGGGGGACCUUCGGGCCUCGCGCGGUCAGACGGACCGAUGUUCGAUUAGCUAGUUGGUAAGGUAAUGGCUUACCAAGGCGACGAUCGAUAGCUGGUCUGAGAGGAUGAUCAGCCACACUGGAACUGAGACACGGUCCAGACUCCUACGGGAGGCAGCAGUGGGGAAUAUUGGACAAUGGGCGCAAGCCUGAUCCAGCAAUGCCGCGUGUGUGAAGAAGGCCUUCGGGUUGUAAAGCACUUUUAUCAGGAGCGAAAUACUACCGGUUAAUAACCGGUGGGCUGACGGUACCUGAGGAAUAAGCACCGGCUAACUUCGCGCCAGCAGCCGCGGUAA